This 254-nucleotide ribosomal RNA is filed under the name uncultured bacterium. RNAcentral's name for it is "partial 16S ribosomal RNA". It matches the Rfam family "Bacterial small subunit ribosomal RNA", at positions 524 to 776 of the family's 1533-position model. The record is from RNAcentral.
UACGUAGGGGGCAAGCGUUAUCCGGAAUCAUUGGGCGUAAAGCGCGUGUAGGCGGUUCCGUAAGUCCGCUCUGAAAGCCCAGGGCUCAACCCUGGGAGGCGGGUGGAUACUACGGAACUGGAGUACGGAAGAGGAGAUUGGAAUUCCUGGUGUAGCGGUGAAAUGCGCAGAUAUCAGGAGGAACACCAACAGCGAAGGCAGAUCUCUGGGACGUUACUGACGCUGAGACGCGAAAGCGUGGGGGAGCAAACAGG